CGGCUCAGUAACACGUGGAUAACCUACCCUCAGAUCUGGGAUAACUCCGGGAAACUGGAGAUAAUACCGGAUAAUCCGUGAACGCUGGAAUGCCUCACGGUUGAAAGCUUUUGCGUCUGAGGAUGGGUCUGCGGCCGAUUAGGUAGUUGCUGGGGUAACGUCCCAACAAGCCGAUAAUCGGUACGGGUUGUGAGAGCAAGAGCCCGGAGAUGGAUUCUGAGACACGAAUCCAGGUCCUACGGGGCGCAGCAGGCGCGAAAACUUUACACUGCGCGAAAGCGCGAUAAGGGGACCUCGAGUGCGUGCGCAAUGCGUACGCUUUUCAGAUGCCUAAAAAGCAUGUGGAAUAAGGGCCGGGCAAGACCGGUGCCAGCCGCCGCGGUAACACCGGCGGCUCAAGUGGUGGCCGCUAUUAUUGGGCUUAAAGGGUCCGUAGCCGGACCAGUUAGUCCCUUGGGAAAUCUUACGGCUUAACCGUAAGGCUGCCAAUGGAUACUGCUGGUCUUGGGACCGGGAGAGGUAAGAGGUACC
RNAcentral lists this ribosomal RNA (531 nucleotides) under uncultured euryarchaeote. RNAcentral's name for it is "bacterial SSU rRNA". It matches the Rfam family "Archaeal small subunit ribosomal RNA", at positions 83 to 619 of the family's 1478-position model. The record is from RNAcentral. Lineage: Archaea; Methanobacteriati; Methanobacteriota.